RNAcentral lists this ribosomal RNA (586 nucleotides) under uncultured marine eukaryote. Its description in RNAcentral is "SSU rRNA". It matches the Rfam family "Eukaryotic small subunit ribosomal RNA", at positions 613 to 1205 of the family's 1831-position model. The record is from RNAcentral.
UUGCAGUUAAAAAGCUCGUAGUUGGAGUUCAGGGUGAGCUCAGCCGGUCGGCUUCAUGAGUCAGAACUGGUCGACUCUCCCUUGUUUGUGGAUCCCGCCCGGAGUUAACUCUUCGGGAUGUGGAGUUCACAUCGUUUACCUUGAAAAAAUUAGAGUGUUCAAAGCAGGCGUUUGCUUGAAUAUAUUAGCAUGGAAUAAUGGAAUAGGACCCUGGUUCUAUUUUGUUGGUUUUGAGAACCAGAGUAAUGAUUAAUAGGGAUAGUUGGGGGCAUUCAUAUUUCAUUGUCAGAGGUGAAAUUCUUGGAUUUAUGAAAGAUGAACUUCUGCGAAAGCAUUUGCCAAGGAUGUUUUCAUUAAUCAAGAACGAAAGUUAGGGGAUCGAAGACGAUCAGAUACCGUCGUAGUCUUAACCAUAAACUAUGCCGACUAGGGAUUGGGCGUGGUUUGUUCAUUGACCCGCUCAGCACCUUACGAGAAAUCAAAGUCUUUGGGUCCCGGGGGGAGUAUGGUCGCAAGGCUGAAACUUAAAGGAAUUGACGGAAGGGCACCACCAGGAGUGGAGCCUGCGGCUUAAUUUGACUCAACA